AGUGAACGCUGGCGGUAGGCCUAACACAUGCGAGUCGAACGGCAGCACAGUAAGAGCUUCCUCUUACGGGUGGCGAGUGGCGGACGGGUGAGGAAUACAUCGGAAUCUACUUUUUCGUGGGGGAUAACGUAGGGAAACUUACGCUAAUACCGCAUACGACCUACGGGUGAAAGCAGGGGAUCUUCGGACCUUGCGCGAUUGAAUGAGCCGAUGUCGGAUUAGCUAGUUGGCGGGGUAAAGGCCCACCAAGGCGACGAUCCGUAGCUGGUCUGAGAGGAUGAUCAGCCACACUGGAACUGAGACACGGUCCAGACUCCUACGGGAGGCAGCAGUGGGGAAUAUUGGACAAUGGGCGCAAGCCUGAUCCAGCCAUACCGCGUGGGUGAAGAAGGCCUUCGGGUUGUAAAGCCCUUUUGUUGGGAAAGAAAAGCAGCAGGUUAAUACCCCGCUGUUCUGACGGUACCCAAAGAAUAAGCACCGGCUAACUUCGUG
Molecule: ribosomal RNA, 492 nt
Filed under: uncultured bacterium
Lineage: Bacteria
Description: partial 16S ribosomal RNA
Rfam family: Bacterial small subunit ribosomal RNA
Source: RNAcentral